Molecule: ribosomal RNA, 700 nt
Filed under: Pseudoalteromonas sp. Rep_9_23
Lineage: Bacteria; Pseudomonadati; Pseudomonadota; Gammaproteobacteria; Alteromonadales; Pseudoalteromonadaceae
Description: bacterial SSU rRNA
Rfam family: Bacterial small subunit ribosomal RNA
Source: RNAcentral
AACAGAAAGUAGCUUGCUACUUUGCUGACGAGCGGCGGACGGGUGAGUAAUGCUUGGGAACAUGCCUUGAGGUGGGGGACAACAGUUGGAAACGACUGCUAAUACCGCAUAAUGUCUACGGACCAAAGGGGGCUUCGGCUCUCGCCUUUAGAUUGGCCCAAGUGGGAUUAGCUAGUUGGUGAGGUAAUGGCUCACCAAGGCAACGAUCCCUAGCUGGUUUGAGAGGAUGAUCAGCCACACUGGAACUGAGACACGGUCCAGACUCCUACGGGAGGCAGCAGUGGGGAAUAUUGCACAAUGGGCGAAAGCCUGAUGCAGCCAUGCCGCGUGUGUGAAGAAGGCCUUCGGGUUGUAAAGCACUUUCAGUCAGGAGGAAAGGGUGUGAGUUAAUACCUCAUAUCUGUGACGUUACUGACAGAAGAAGCACCGGCUAACUCCGUGCCAGCAGCCGCGGUAAUACGGAGGGUGCGAGCGUUAAUCGGAAUUACUGGGCGUAAAGCGUACGCAGGCGGUUUGUUAAGCGAGAUGUGAAAGCCCCGGGCUCAACCUGGGAACUGCAUUUCGAACUGGCAAACUAGAGUGUGAUAGAGGGUGGUAGAAUUUCAGGUGUAGCGGUGAAAUGCGUAGAGAUCUGAAGGAAUACCGAUGGCGAAGGCAGCCACCUGGGUCAACACUGACGCUCAUGUACGAAAGCGUGGGG